Molecule: ribosomal RNA, 607 nt
Filed under: uncultured Enterobacter sp.
Lineage: Bacteria; Pseudomonadati; Pseudomonadota; Gammaproteobacteria; Enterobacterales; Enterobacteriaceae
Description: bacterial SSU rRNA
Rfam family: Bacterial small subunit ribosomal RNA
Source: RNAcentral
GUCGAACGGUAACAGGAAGCAGCUUGCUGCUUCGCUGACGAGUGGCGGACGGGUGAGUAAUGUCUGGGAAACUGCCUGAUGGAGGGGGAUAACUACUGGAAACGGUAGCUAAUACCGCAUAACGUCGCAAGACCAAAGAGGGGGACCUUCGGGCCUCUUGCCAUCGGAUGUGCCCAGAUGGGAUUAGCUAGUAGGUGGGGUAACGGCUCACCUAGGCGACGAUCCCUAGCUGGUCUGAGAGGAUGACCAGCCACUCUGGAACUGAGACACGGUCCAGACUCCUACGGGAGGCAGCAGUGGGGAAUAUUGCACAAUGGGCGCAAGCCUGAUGCAGCCAUGCCGCGUGUAUGAAGAAGGCCUUCGGGUUGUAAAGUACUUUCAGCGGGGAGGAAGGCGAUAAGGUUAAUAACCUUGUCGAUUGACGUUACCCGCAGAAGAAGCACCGGCUAACUCCGUGCCAGCAGCCGCGGUAAUACGGAGGGUGCAAGCGUUAAUCGGAAUUACUGGGCGUAAAGCGCACGCAGGCGGUCUGUCAAGUCGGAUGUGAAAUCCCCGGGCUCAACCUGGGAACUGCAUUCGAAACUGGCAGGCUAGAGUCUUGUAGAGG